AUGGAGCUGCUGAUGCAAAAUGAUAAUGGAGUUAACUUUGUAUCACUGUGGUACACGUUUGGUGGAGGAACCAGACUGGAAGUUGACUUGGGUCAUGUGUCCCCCUCCCUGACCGUGCUCCUCCCCUCCACCAAGGAGCUGCAGCAGGGGAAGGCCACACUCAUGUGUGUGGCCAACAAGGGCUUCCCCUCAGACUGGACUCUGUCCUGGAAGGUGGUCGGCAGCAGCAGCAGCAACUGGGAGGAGAGCAGGAGCCCCGGGGUGCUGCAGAAGGACGGCCUCUACAGCUGGAGCAGCACCCUGAGGCUCUCUGCAGACCAGUGGGAGAAGGUGACCUGUGAGGCCAAGAGAGGAUCCCAGACUGCAGUCUCAGAGACUCUCAGGAGAGACCAGUGCUCCCAGUCCUGAACUGAAAAUAUGUGACUCUUAAUAGUUUAACUUGUUU
Oryzias melastigma (Indian medaka) is the source of this 445-nucleotide non-coding RNA. The record is from the annotation of a RefSeq genome assembly. NCBI's taxonomy places the organism in Eukaryota, Metazoa, Chordata, Actinopteri, Beloniformes, Adrianichthyidae.